CACGUAGGGGGCAAGCGUUGUCCGGAUUUAUUGGGCGUAAAGAGCUCGUAGGCGGUUCGGUAAGUCGGGUGUGAAACCUCCAGGCUCAACCUGGAGAGGCCACCUGAUACUGCUGUGACUCGAGUCCGGUAGGGGAGCGUGGAAUUCCUGGUGUAGCGGUGAAAUGCGCAGAUAUCAGGAGGAACACCAGCGGCGAAGGCGGCAUCCUGGACUGGUCCUGACACUCAGGAGCGAAAGCGUGGGGAGCGAUCCGG
This 254-nucleotide ribosomal RNA is filed under the name uncultured bacterium. RNAcentral's name for it is "partial 16S ribosomal RNA". It matches the Rfam family "Bacterial small subunit ribosomal RNA", at positions 524 to 776 of the family's 1533-position model. The record is from RNAcentral.